GACGAACGCUGGCGGCGUGCUUAACACAUGCAAGUCGAACGGAAAGGCCCUGCUUUUGUGGGGUGCUCGAGUGGCGAACGGGGGAGUAACACGUGAGUAACCUGCCCUUGACUUUGGGAUAACUUCAGGAAACUGGGGCUAAUACCGGAUAGGAGCUCCUGCUGCAUGGUGGGGGGUGGAAAGUUUCGGCGGUUGGGGAUGGACUCGCGGCUUAUCAGCUUGUUGGUGGGGUAGUGGCUUACCAAGGCUUUGACGGGUAGACGGCCUGAGAGGGUGACCGGCCACGUUGCGACUGAGAUACGGCCCAGACUCCUACGGGAGGCAGCAGUGGGGAAUAUUACACAAUGGGCGGAAGCCUGAUGCAGCAACGCCGCGUGCGGGAUGACGGCCUUCGGUUUGUAUACCGCUUUCGCCUGUGACGAAGCGUGAGUGACGGUAAUGGGUAAAGAAGCACCGGCUAACUACGUG
RNAcentral lists this ribosomal RNA (468 nucleotides) under uncultured bacterium. RNAcentral describes it as "partial 16S ribosomal RNA". It matches the Rfam family "Bacterial small subunit ribosomal RNA", at positions 28 to 507 of the family's 1533-position model. The record is from RNAcentral.